Molecule: long non-coding RNA, 662 nt
Organism: Sinocyclocheilus grahami
Lineage: Eukaryota; Metazoa; Chordata; Actinopteri; Cypriniformes; Cyprinidae
Exons: 3
Source: RefSeq, a predicted model, not a curated record
AAAAAGCCCGAGAUGAAGCCCGUGCAUCACUUUCAGUAUUCUCAGAGAACAGCCUGAUGUUACAGAAGUUCAUUUCAGUGAGAUUGAGGAACCAUCCCAAAGGAAGCACUUCACUACCUGUAUGGAUUACUGAAGACUCAGGUCAUUUCCUGUUGAUAUGGCAUCAUCACGGUAGUUCUCUUACUGAUUUUGAGGGAGCAAUGUCCACUCAACAUGUACAGUAACCUUCACACAACAGCACUAACAUUCCCCUUCAUGUACAGGUGCAAAGCAUCCUUCCAUUUUCAUAAAGUCACAAACAGAUCAAAAACUCCAUAUGUGAAGUGUCUGGUGAAGCUUUGUGGUCUGGCUGAAUUUGGCAGAGCACUAACAGAACAUGAAAUUGUCUGUGCAUUACUGUUGCUGCUCAGAUGGCGAGGAGUAAUUCUCAGUGCAGGGUGAUGCUGCUAAAGUUCUUCAUGAACUACCUGACUACAGAGGGAUAUUCACAGGUUUGCAAAGCCAUGGCCGACUAAACAGAAGAUGGUUGAGGGACACACAGAAGCUCCCAUCAAGUAUAAAGACCUUCAACUCUCCAGCAGUUACAGCAUUACAGAGACUAAGAAUGAGGAGAUGCCAGCCAGAUGUGGAAAUUAAUGUGAGUUCCUUUUUUUGUCAUUUGC